GUCACGUGCUGCAGCUCCCUGCGUCACAGCCCGGAAUCGGAGCUACUGUCUGUUGCUAGGCUGUUUUCCUGAGAGACCCGCCUGCCUCUAUCUCCCGGGUGCUGCGGGUGCAGGCGAGCGCCGCCACCCCCAGCCCAAGCUAGACUCAAACCAUCGCCGCCUCCAUGGGCGUUAGUGACCCUGUCUUUAAUCCCGGCGCUCGGGAGGCAGAGGCAGUGCCCGGACAACCUAGUCUUAGAGAGAGAAAUCCCAUCUUGGAAAAUGGAAGUUUAUGGCAAUCCCCCUGCAUCAGCCUCCGAGUACUGAGAUGUCAGGCUUCUGCCUUUCCGCUUACCAUGGAUGUACCGUUAUGGUUACUAGAGUAGCCAUGAUGAUCAAUGUAACCCGUUAAUCUGAUUGGAUCCCGAGUGUGGGGGGGUGCUCCUUCCCGGUCGAUUAUCUUGAUUAUCUCACGGAGGAAGGCUCUGGGCAGUUUAUUCCCUGGGCAGGGAUCCUGACCUAAAAAUGGAGAAAGUGAGUGGAUCAGUACCACUCAGGCAGUGCCAUUUCUAAGUUCUAAAUGUGAUGUUACCUAUGGCUUUGAGAUCUUAUUGCCUGGAUUUCCCCAGGGCCUGUGCCAUGAGCUGCAAGUUGAAAUAAACUCUGUGUCCUAUAAGGUACUUUUGUGUUUUGUUUUGUUUUUCGAGACAAG
RNAcentral lists this long non-coding RNA (691 nucleotides) under Cricetulus griseus (Chinese hamster). RNAcentral describes it as "lncRNA (ENSCGRG00000024695.1)". The record is from RNAcentral. Lineage: Eukaryota; Metazoa; Chordata; Mammalia; Rodentia; Cricetidae.